AGGGUUUGAUCAUGGCUCAGAACGUACGCUGGCGGCACGCCUAACACAUGCAAGUCGAACGAAGUAGCAAUACUUAGUGGCAGACGGGUGAGUAACAUGUAGGUAUCUACCCUAUGGCCUGGAAUAACACGAGGAAACUUGUGCUAAUACCGGAUAAGUCUUUACAGAGAAAGCUUUAUGCACCAUUGGAUGAGCCUGCACUUGAUUAGUUUGUUGGUGGGGUAAUGGCCUACCAAGACUGUGAUCAAUAGCUGAUUUGAGAGGAUGAUCAGCCACAUUGGGACUGAGACACGGCCCAGACUCCUACGGGAGGCAGCAGUGGGGAAUUUUCCGCAAUGGGCGAAAGCCUGACGGAGCAACGCCGCGUGAGGGACGAAGGCCUCUGGGCUGUAAACCUCUUUUCUCAAGGAAGAAGAUAUGACGGUACUUGAGGAAUAAGCCACGGCUAAUUCCGUGCCAGCAGCCGCGGUAAUACGGGAGUGGCAAGCGUUAUCCGGAAUUAUUGGGCGUAAAGCGUCCGCAGGCGGCUUUUCAAGUCUGCUGUUAAAGCGUGGAGCUUAACUCCAUCAUGGCAGUGGAAACUGAAAGGCUUGAGUAUGGUAGGGGCAGAGGGAAUUCCCGGUGUAGCGGUGAAAUGCGUAGAUAUCGGGAAGAACACCAGUGGCGAAGGCGCUCUGCUGGGCCAUUACUGACGCUCAUGGACGAAAGCCAGGGGAGCGAAAGGGAUUAGAUACCCCUGUAGUCCUGGCCGUAAACGAUGAACACUAGGUGUCGGGGGAAUCGACCCCUUCGGUGUCGUAGCUAACGCGUUAAGUGUUCCGCCUGGGGAGUACGCACGCAAGUGUGAAACUCAAAGGAAUUGACGGGGGCCCGCACAAGCGGUGGAGUAUGUGGUUUAAUUCGAUGCAACGCGAAGAACCUUACCAGGGUUUGACAUCCUGCGAACCUCUUAGAAAUUUGAGGGUGCCUUCGGGAAUGCAGUGACAGGUGGUGCAUGGCUGUCGUCAGCUCGUGUCGUGAGAUGUUGGGUUAAGUCCCGCAACGAGCGCAACCCUCACUUUUAGUUGCCAUCAUUAAGUUGGGCACUCUGAAAGAACUGCCAGUGAUAAGCUGGAGGAAGGUGGGGAUGACGUCAAGUCCUCAUGGCCCUUACGUGUUGGGCUACACACGUGCUACAAUGGUAUCUACAACAGGAAGCAAGACGGCGACGUUAAGCAAAUCCUUAAAAGAUACCUCAGUUCGGAUUGCACUCUGCAACUCGAGUGCAUGAAGCUGGAAUUACUAGUAAUCGUGGAUCAGCGUGCCACGGUGAAUGCGUUCCCGGGUCUUGUACACACCGCCCGUCACACCAUGGGAGUUGG
This 1361-nucleotide ribosomal RNA is filed under the name uncultured bacterium. Its description in RNAcentral is "partial 16S ribosomal RNA". It matches the Rfam family "Bacterial small subunit ribosomal RNA". The record is from RNAcentral.